RNAcentral lists this ribosomal RNA (561 nucleotides) under uncultured archaeon. Its description in RNAcentral is "bacterial SSU rRNA". It matches the Rfam family "Archaeal small subunit ribosomal RNA", at positions 316 to 879 of the family's 1478-position model. The record is from RNAcentral.
AUUCGCCCUUCGGGGUGCAGCAGGCGCGAAACCUUUGCAAUACACGAAAGUGUGACAGGGCUAUCCCGAGUGCCAUCCGCUGAGGAAGGCUUUUACCCAGUCUAGAACGCUGGGGGAAUAAGGAGAGGGCAAGUCUGGUGUCAGCCGCCGCGGUAAUACCAGCUCUCCGAGUGGUGUGGAUGUUUAUUGGGCCUAAAGCAUCCGUAGCUGGCUAGGUAAGUCCCUUGUUAAAUCCACCGAAUUAAUCGUUGGAUCGCGGGGGAUACUGCUUGGCUAGGGGACGAGAGAGGCAGACGGUAUUUUCGGGGUAGGGGUGAAAUCCUAUAAUCCCGGGAAGACCACCAGUGGCGAAGGCUGUCUGCUAGAACGCGCCCGACGGUGAGGGAUGAAAGCUGGGGGAGCGAACCGGAUUAGAUACCCGGGUAGUCCCAGCUGUAAACGAUGCAGACUAGGUGUUUGGACGGCCACGUGCCGUUCUAGUGCCGCAGGGAAGCUGUUAAGUCUGCCGCCUGGGGAGUACGAUCGCAAGAUUGAAACUUAAAGGAAUUGGCGGGGGAGCAC